RNAcentral lists this long non-coding RNA (410 nucleotides) under Gallus gallus (chicken). Lineage: Eukaryota; Metazoa; Chordata; Aves; Galliformes; Phasianidae. The record is from RNAcentral.
GUCAAAGUCCUCAACUGAUUGCCACUGGAAUCUCUAUUCCAAGGGGUUGAUACAGCAUCUACUAUACUCCUGGAAUUGAGAAACCUCUGCAUGAAGUGAGAAUUGGUGAAGAGGAUUUCGAACAUCUUGUCUGCAGUGAUGUGGAAAACUCUGUUUAUAAAAAGUCUUCCAUAGACAUCAUUCUCAGAGGCAGUCUCUUUUACUGCUAAAGAAAGGCAGGGGGAUCAGGUUAAAAAAAGCAACAACAACAUUAUGAAGUUUCUUCAUAGUAUUAAGCUUUAUUACAGCUCAAAUCCUUUCUAAUCUUGCAUCAGUAAUUGCUUCUUAUUCCCAGAAACCCAGAAGUGACAGCAACACAUCAUUUUGUAAUAAGAUGGCUUUGAGGAACAAAGUAAAGAGCUCAUUUUCUA